Molecule: ribosomal RNA, 670 nt
Filed under: Salmonella enterica subsp. enterica serovar Muenchen
Lineage: Bacteria; Pseudomonadati; Pseudomonadota; Gammaproteobacteria; Enterobacterales; Enterobacteriaceae
Also listed under: 1 other name
Description: partial 23S ribosomal RNA
Rfam family: Bacterial large subunit ribosomal RNA
Source: RNAcentral
GAUGUGUAGGAUAGGUGGGAGGCUUUGAAGUGUGGACGCCAGUCUGCAUGGAGCCGACCUUGAAAUACCACCCUUUAAUGUUUGAUGUUCUAACGUGGACCCGUUACCCGGGUUGCGGACAGUGUCUGGUGGGUAGUUUGACUGGGGCGGUCUCCUCCUAAAGAGUAACGGAGGAGCACGAAGGUUGGCUAAUCCUGGUCGGACAUCAGGAGGUUAGUGCAAUGGCAUAAGCCAGCUUGACUGCGAGCGUGACGGCGCGAGCAGGUGCGAAAGCAGGUCAUAGUGAUCCGGUGGUUCUGAAUGGAAGGGCCAUCGCUCAACGGAUAAAAGGUACUCCGGGGAUAACAGGCUGAUACCGCCCAAGAGUUCAUAUCGACGGCGGUGUUUGGCACCUCGAUGUCGGCUCAUCACAUCCUGGGGCUGAAGUAGGUCCCAAGGGUAUGGCUGUUCGCCAUUUAAAGUGGUACGCGAGCUGGGUUUAGAACGUCGUGAGACAGUUCGGUCCCUAUCUGCCGUGGGCGCUGGAGAACUGAGGGGGGCUGCUCCUAGUACGAGAGGACCGGAGUGGACGCAUCACUGGUGUUCGGGUUGUCAUGCCAAUGGCACUGCCCGGUAGCUAAAUGCGGAAGAGAUAAGUGCUGAAAGCAUCUAAGCACGAAACUUGCCCCGA